UGUAGCACGUCACACGUUUUAUUUUUAGAGAAACUCUACCAAGAAAUUACUUACGAAGAUUGGGUGUCCACUCAGGUAUUUAAAUGCUCCCGUAACACUGUAAAUUCAUCAUUCAAGCAAUCUUCCUCAAUUCAAUCUUAAAAAUCUACAUUUUUUGUAAUACCGGGAUUAAAAAGUAGAAACAUGAUGCUGACUGCUGCAAAACUUAUGUUGGGGGUUGUCGUCUUCUCCAUUUUGGCCAAAAACAGUGCGUCGUUCCCAACGGAGGACGGCCCCGAUUUUGCGGAAGAGGAAACAGCCCCAGGAAAUCGGACGAGACGACGUGCGGAUUACGGGAGCAUUGACAACUAGCAGUACGCGUACGGGUGUCAGGACUACGGGUGUCACAAGGGUCGGUGCUGGGCGUGGUGCGGGAUUCGACCUGACGACCACAAGCAGUGGUGCUGGACGACGCGGGGAAACAUGUGGGACUUGCAGUAUGUCGGCUGCUCUUCCCACAAUGAUUGUGACGGAUGCUGGCAUUUGCAGGAACCUGCUCCUUGUAAAGAGAAUUCUCGAACGGAGGAAUAUUUGGGGGCUUAGCAAGUAAUUCAAAUUUGUAUGUAUUCCUCAUACUAUACUUACAAUAUCAUUCCAAUUUGCGGCACAAUUUACGAUGUAUAUGUAUAUAAUCCAAGUAAAGAUACUAGCAUGAGUUUGUAAUAAAUAAAUCGUCGUCUUCGUAUUUAAAUUGCAGCUA
Molecule: long non-coding RNA, 739 nt
Organism: Folsomia candida
Lineage: Eukaryota; Metazoa; Arthropoda; Collembola; Entomobryomorpha; Isotomidae
Exons: 2
Source: RefSeq, a predicted model, not a curated record